GACAGAGGUCCCGAGCGUUAGGCGGAAUCACUGGGCUUAAAGCGUGUGUAGGCGGCGGCCUAAGUACCUUGUGAAAUCCCACGGCUCACCCGUGGAACUGCUCGGUAUACUGGGUCGCUUGAGCCACUUAGGGGCUACCGGAACAAAUGGUGGAGCGGUGAAAUGCGUAGAUAUCAUUUGGAACGCCAAUGGUGAAAACAGGUAACUGGGAGUGUGCUGACGCUGAGACACGAAAGCCAGGGGAGCAAACGGG
Molecule: ribosomal RNA, 253 nt
Filed under: uncultured bacterium
Lineage: Bacteria
Description: partial 16S ribosomal RNA
Rfam family: Bacterial small subunit ribosomal RNA
Source: RNAcentral